CUAACGUCCACGCUAGCUGCUAUAUGUUUUGCGUUAAGGUGAUACUUGAGGCUCGAUGUGCUGCGGUGAUAUGCAAAUUCCUUUUGGUGCUCCAGUAUAAUCGGUCCGCCGAAACUCAUCCAGUGAGAAACGUUCCGCGGUGCAAAAAUAAGUUAUUGAAAAUGCGGAAUUUUUUUUGUGUAAUUAAUUAAUCUUAAUUAACGCGUUAUUUUUUGUGUAAUUAAUUAAUCUCAAUUAACGCGUUAAAGUCCCGGCCCUAA
Carassius carassius (crucian carp) is the source of this 260-nucleotide long non-coding RNA. RefSeq lists it as uncharacterized. The record is from RefSeq and is a predicted model, not a curated record. Lineage: Eukaryota; Metazoa; Chordata; Actinopteri; Cypriniformes; Cyprinidae. The transcript is spliced from 2 exons.